This 219-nucleotide long non-coding RNA is filed under the name Rattus norvegicus (Norway rat). RNAcentral describes it as "long non-coding RNA NONRATT032082". Lineage: Eukaryota; Metazoa; Chordata; Mammalia; Rodentia; Muridae. The record is from RNAcentral.
CCUGUCCCGGCCACCACCUGCCCAACGCUGGGCUCGCGUCGGAAGUCGGCAGCCCGGGAGCGCCGGUUUUCCCAAACGCCUCGUACCAGUCGGUGAGCAAAGUUCCUCUAGCUUGUGUCAAGCACAGCAGGCUACUGCAGUUUCCCUUCGCUGUGAAGGAUACAACAGGAGGCUCUGGACAGAUUCUGGCACUCUAUGCAUUUUCAAGACUCCUAUGGA